Molecule: ribosomal RNA, 497 nt
Filed under: uncultured bacterium
Lineage: Bacteria
Description: partial 16S ribosomal RNA
Rfam family: Bacterial small subunit ribosomal RNA
Source: RNAcentral
GAUGAACGCUGGCGGCGUGCCUAAUACAUGCAAGUCGAGCGAACGGACGAGAAGCUUGCUUUUCUGAUGUUAGCGGCGGACGGGUGAGUAACACGUGGAUAACCUACCUAUAAGACUGGGAUAACUUCGGGAAACCGGAGCUAAUACCGGAUAAUAUUUUGAACCGCAUGGUUCAAAAGUGAAAUACGGUCUUGCUGCUUCUUAUAGCUGGAUCCGCGCUGCAUUAGCUAGUUUGUAAGGUAACGGCUUACCAAGACAACGAUGCAUAGCCGACCUGAGAGCGUGAUCGGCCUCACUGGAACUGGUACACUGUCCACGCCACUACGGAAGGCAGCAGUAGGGAAUCUUCCGCAAUGGGCGAAAGCCUGACGGAACACCCCCGCGUGACUGAUGAAGUUCUUCGGGUCGUAGAGCUCUGUUAUUAGGGAAGAACAUAUGUGUAAGUAACUGUGCACAUAUUGACGGUACCUAAUCAGAAAGCCACGGCUAACUACGUG